GCUCUUGUAGCUCAGUUGGCAGAGCAGCUGAUUUGUAAUCAGCAGGUCGUAGGUUCGAGACCUACCGAGAGCA
Molecule: transfer RNA, 73 nt
Filed under: Bacillus phage Mater
Lineage: Duplodnaviria; Heunggongvirae; Uroviricota; Caudoviricetes; Herelleviridae
Rfam family: tRNA
About the family: Transfer RNA (tRNA) molecules are approximately 80 nucleotides in length.
Source: Rfam by way of RNAcentral